This is a long non-coding RNA of Dunckerocampus dactyliophorus (ringed pipefish), 5646 nucleotides long. RefSeq lists it as uncharacterized. The record is from RefSeq and is a predicted model, not a curated record. The transcript is spliced from 3 exons. NCBI's taxonomy places the organism in Eukaryota, Metazoa, Chordata, Actinopteri, Syngnathiformes, Syngnathidae.
AUGGUGUUGGAAUUGCACUGCUGUUGAUGUGUUCAAGUCAGAAUAAGGUUAUAAAAGAGGGUCAGAUUCAGUGCGACUGUGUGGGGCCACUAGACUAUGCUUCUGUCUGCCGUCAAAACAGAUGUGUGGCUUGACAUGAUGCAUGUGUUAAUCGCGCUAAAAAUUUUAACGGAAUUAAUAAAAUAAAUUAGUUACCACUAUUAACGCCCUUAUUUUUGACAGCCCUAAUUUUUAUAAGUGUUCAACUCAGACAUGAUGCCUGUAUUUAAUGACAAAUGACCACAAAAUAGCAUAAAGCAGACAAGCGAUGUAAAUGUUGGCAGUCACAUAAAACACAAAUAGCUCACCUCUCCUUUCUUUUUGUCAAAAAUAACUUUAAUAGUGCUGGAAGUUGGAUACACCGGCCCUAGCAUAAACAUGGACACUGAAUUUCUAUAAGGAAAAUAUUUUAAUUUUAUUCUGUUAAUUGUGUUAUUUUUAACAAAAAAGUAAAUUCAUGAAGAAUUAAUUUCCUAUGUAUUGGCAUCAAAUUUAAUUCAGGUUUGUGUCAAAUACAAAAUUUGUUUCACACAAUUCAAGCCCAAAAAAAAAAACGAGUAGGGUUGGUCGGCCCUAUCGACAAGGUGCCCCUUAUUUAUGUUUAGAGAAGUUGGCAAUCCUACUAGUAAAUUUGCUGAUUUUCUUUGACUAUUAUUGAAUAUUUUCUGUUGCUGACAAACUUCUGCUCCACACUUCAGCGCAGUAGUUGUCAGUAAUGCGCAAAUGAGCUAGUUUGCUAACCCACAUUAACUCCCAAAGACGAAGAAGAGGAGGAAGAAGAAGAAGAGGGCGGGCCAAUUUGAGUGGAAAACGGGCAUUAUGUGUUGGAGUUGUAAAAUGUAAAUGAUGCCACCAAUGAGGCCUCCCAGAAGCCACGGACAGAAAGAAGGUGGUCAGAGAAGACGGUGAAAAUGAGGGGAGAUGUGAAUAUUUACUUUGCAUGUCGAUUUCGGCGUGUGCCCCUAAAUGUUCUGCUUGCGCUCCUGAAAUUAAGUUAGGGGCCACUGUACUCCUAGUUAAAAAAAAAGUUAGUCUGGAGCCCUGCAAGAUGGAGGAUUAUAUACUCAAACUCCCCGGGAGGUGAUCAGACUUUUACAACACAGUAUCAGAACCUUUCUUGGAGAAGGAAAGGCUGCAUGUACUUCAUAUACAAAAAAAGGUGUAAGACCACAAGUUUUUCGGUUUAAACAUAUAGGUCUAAGUAUCAGAAAACAUUUUUAAUAUAUUUUUGUAACAAAAUUGAAUUAUUAUUCUCUUUUUUUAUGGUUAUCCACUUAAUGAGGACCUGUAUUAACAAAACAAAACAAAAAAACUCCAAAGGAGUCAGUGCCUCACCAGCCAUGAACUUCACCCUACUCACUCACCUUGCUGUCUCUUUCCAGUUCUUUCUUUAACCACUCAAAGUCACUGUAUCGUCUGGUCACACAGGACUCCUUCUGCUUGAAAAUAGGAAGGUUCGUCUGAAUAGAGAUAAGGAACAGCCGACACAGCAGGAUCAGGAAUGGCUUGGGUACCACAUGAAUGAAGCGGAUUCUAAACCUACGAGGGACCAUUUAUCAAUUUAUCACAUCAACAACACUUCAUUGACAUUCACUUUAUACAACACAUUUCCUUCUGUUCUACAGAACUUUGGAAGACCCCUUAAGCUUGUCUUGUGAUGAAGGAUUGUGUGCAAUUGUUGUUUAAUCGCGUCUUGAAACCACUGACACAAAAUAGAGUGCACUACCUGGCUGCAACCAGUAGAGGCGCUGUUGAUAAAGUCUCAACCAGAACCGUGCUAAACACAGAAUCUGCUAUGGCAGUGGUUCUCAAUUAUUUUCUGUCAUGCCCCCACCGGGGGAAAGAAAUGUUUUCGUGCCCCCCUCCUCCCCGAUUUGAAAUGCUAUUGAGAAACUCAUAGUAUCUAUUUAUUUAUCUGUACUGUACAGACUGAACUCGAAACUGAAACCAGCAAAAUGCAAUAAAAUGGAGAGCAGUGAAGCAUACAAGCGUAUUCAAGAUUCAAAUUGCACGCUGAGUACGACAAAUUCAUUCCUCCCUGCCUCUCACGCCCCUCCUGACAGUUCACAGCGCUCCCUCCCCCAGGGGGGGCCCCCGCCCCACUAUUUGAGAAGCACUGGGCUAUGGGUAGUGGAAUUACCAUGCGGGUAUCCACUCCUCCGGGCAGCAGAGUGGCAUUACCUCGAUUGUGUUCAUCACAUACACAUGAAUGCACAGGCGACAAAUAAAGACAAAUAUAACGCAGAGCAUAUUGUGAGGUCAGAUUUUUUUUAGAAGGAAUUUUUGUGAUGCAAAUGUAUAUUGUUUUGAGAAGACAAACUUUGCGUAAAUGUCCCCAGCAACUAUGCCGAACCAUGUUCUUCAUCACCAAAAUCCAACGAGAACUGGACUUAGGAGACCAAGUGGGGGCCUUGCCAGUGCCUUUGUUGGAUCCCCACACCACAGACUCGCUCCAAUCGCUCCAGAAGUCAGACUUCCCACAAGUUUUUUCCAUUUUGCUCCUCACUUGAAGCUCAUACUGGGAACGGCUGGAGGGUAAGUUGAUGCAGUAACUUUGCUUCCCAGGAAUGACCAAGUAAGUCUGCAUAAAUUGAAAGAUAAUCUAGCAAUAAUACAGUAGAUAACAAAGCAAGACUCUGAGGAGCAUACUGUAUAUGUUAGGUUACUCACGUUCCACUUCUUGUAAUUGAUUCUGUAGCGAACCUCAUUUUCCACACAGUGUGGAGAAGUCUGAUUCCAGUAAAACCACAGAUUUGAGUCGGAUCCAUUCUGAACUGUCAGGUUGGUCGGUGGAUUUAACUUAACUGCAUAGGUAACACAUACAAUGAAAUAUUAUUGAGUCAAAUGUUGAGUUAAAGUGCAUUUUUAUUUGGUGAAUGGACAUCUUUUAACUGGUGGCUGUAAAAGACUGUAAAACGUUGACAAAAAGUUCACAAAAGGGAUUACACCCCUCCCAUUUCAGCAGGCAUUUUAUUAUAAGUUAUAUUUUUAUAUUACUUUUUUACAUUAUUUUAUAUUUAUAUUUUAUUGUAUUUUUUUAUAAGGGAUGAAAUUAAAUAAAGUAUAGUAGUAGCUUGUAGCUUCUAACCAAAGCUACAAAACGCAACAAUGAGCGAUACCCCCAGAGGGAAGAAGACACUGUGGUGCUGAACUGGUGCCAUAUUUUUUUUGUUCCAGUCUGGCUCCAAAAGCUUGAUGGGCUGAGUGCUGAACCGUGGGGGGGGCGGGUGUUGCCUCGAGUAAAUACCCGCCUGUUACCAACUUCAUUGACUCCAUCCAUCCAUUUUCUAUGCCGCUUAUCCUCACUAGGGUCGUAGGUAUGCUGGAGCCUAUCCCAGCUGACUUCAGGCGAGAGGCAGGGUACACCCUGGACUGGUCGCCAGCCAAUCGCAGGGCACGUAUAGACAAACAACCAUUCACACUCACAUUCAUACCUAUGGACAAUUUAGGUAGCAGAAAGUGUGUGAAAGAGUGUCUUUCUAGCCCUGGAAUAGGAGGGAGGAGUUGAGGCGGAGGCCAAGAAGGGCCGACCACUGCCUGUUCAGGGUCGACACGCCCUGUGGAAGUUAGCCCCAAUCUGGUGACAUCUUCUCCUGGUCAACAGCUACAGUCAUGUAGAUGUGACUGAGUUAGUUAGCAUCAAGUAGAUGUAUUUAUAGUCGGUAGAUUUACUAUUAACUUAAAAUUAGUCAACACAGUUUCUGCUUCAGAAUGUCACCAUACAUGUUAGAAUUCAUGUUUCCCCUCAAUGAACCACAGCUCCCCCCGUGCCAGCAGCACUCGUGCAGCAGCCCCGGAGCAUGCUGUUGCCACCACCAUGCUUUACUGUAGACAAGACACAAUUAACAUGCUACUCACUUGUGUUGGCAGCUGUUUAGACAAUAAUAUAAAGUAUAUCUUUAUUACUAUACAAGCUGUGCACUAUUUCUUUGACUAUUUCUAUAAUAUUGCCCCUUAAAAGAUGUACAGUAAUACAAAUGCCAGCUGGAAUGUGAGGGGUGUAUUCCCUUUUGUGAGAUACUUUUUUGUCCCCUUCAUUGGAAUUAGUUUAAUUAGUAAUUAAUUUGCUGCAACAUUAUACAAUAGCCAAGCCUUACCUUUGUUUAUAAGAUUGUGCUCCUUCACAGAAGUACUGUUGCCAUGACCCAGUUGUGUGUAAAAUGUCAAGAACCUGUUUUCGUAUGGCUGAAUGCAGCCAUUGUUUAUGUUGUUCUCUCUCUGUGUCAGGUGGUGCUCACACACUCUGACAUUUUCACCAUAGAACCUGUAUUUUUUUUUUAAAACCCAGAAAACAAGUAGUCAUUUCUACAGUACAGGUUUCUAUUUUGAUCUUUUCACCUACCAGCUACUGAAGGUGUAAUUGACCGUCGCAUUCCAGGAACAGCGAACAGUCUCCAGAUGCAACACAAUGCAGUCGACAUCUGGGCAACCAGAACCAGAAAUGGAAUUUAUUGUGACUUCGGAAUGGGUCUGCCUGCUCAGCACAAUAUGAGCACAAUACAAGCAGAUGCUAAUACAAAUACACUUUUGAUAUACAGCCAUCCCUCGUUUAUUGCGGUGAAUUGGUUCCCGGCCUGACUGCGAAACGUGAAUUUUGCUGUCAUUGAUAAAUGGAAUUUUUUGAUACAGCAUAGAAAACCUCUUUAUGACCUUCUCAAAACUUUAUAAGACAAAAUAACUCAUCAUGAGCAUUGGGAAAGUUCUUUGUUGUUGUUGUAUCUCAAAUGUAAUGUGGCUCGAUCGCAUGGCAUUGUAAAAAAAGAUUGCCAUCAGCUUAUCAUCCAUCCUCACUAUGUUGUCUGACACCUGAUUGAUAUAUUUAUGCCAGUCUGACAUGCAUCUGCCAUACACAGACGUACACUCCCGACAGUACUGCUAGCUUAGUUUACAUUAUAUUGCGCAAUGCUUGUGCAGAGGACAUUGGCAUCUCUGCAGUGACACAAGAGAAGGAUGCCACUUUAAACAUAGCAAUACUGUAUACCAAGCUAACGAGUUGGCCUCCAAUUUAUUUAUCUUAAAUGGAAGAAUGGGUUUGUAACUGAGUGAGGAGGAAGAAGGGAAAUAAGCAGGCAAAAACCUACCACUUACACACAGAAUAAUAGACCCUAGUCAACCAGGAAAUGGUGAUAAUUUAUUAAUUUAUUAAUUUUUGAAGAAACGCGAUAGAGUGAGGGCGCAAUAUUUGAACCGCAAUGUAGCGAUGGACAACUGCACUACACAGCACUUGUUCAUUCGAGUAGUACCUAUAAAACGCCACGAGCUGAAACCAUCACACCUCCCCUCUCCAUGACGUGUCUGUCUUCAAAGCAUAGUAGUUUAACUUACUUUAGUUUUAUUAUACCAUGGUUAACUUCUCAUAAUUCCCCAUAAAGUACAAAACGUUAUAAAGCAGAUUGACCUUUAAGGAAAUUGUAGAACUUCUCAGACAAAUCCAAACAAAUUUAAGCCACUCUUAAGUGAAACCUCCGAAAGUUCUUACCUGGAGGUUCUUGGGCAACAAUAGGUCCUGCCAGACAGAGAAGUAAAAGAAAUUUGUUCAGCAUCGCGGAGCAGAAGAACAUGGACGCUUUUAGUUUCAAUGCAGGUUGACGUCUACAUCUAAAUGUG